UACAGAGGUCCCAAGCGUUGUUCGGAUUCACUGGGCGUAAAGGGUUCGUAGGCGGUCGGGUAAGUCUGAUGUGAAAUCUCACAGCUUAACUGUGAAACUGCAUUGGAUACUAUCCGGCUCGAGGAAUGGAGGGGAGACUGGAAUACUUGGUGUAGCAGUGAAAUGCGUAGAUAUCAAGUGGAACACCAGUGGCGAAGGCGAGUCUCUGGACAUUUCCUGACGCUGAGGCACGAAAGCCAGGGGAGCAAACGGG
This 253-nucleotide ribosomal RNA is filed under the name uncultured bacterium. Its description in RNAcentral is "partial 16S ribosomal RNA". It matches the Rfam family "Bacterial small subunit ribosomal RNA", at positions 524 to 776 of the family's 1533-position model. The record is from RNAcentral.